Molecule: ribosomal RNA, 562 nt
Filed under: Bacillus australimaris
Lineage: Bacteria; Bacillati; Bacillota; Bacilli; Caryophanales; Bacillaceae
Description: bacterial SSU rRNA
Rfam family: Bacterial small subunit ribosomal RNA
Source: RNAcentral
GACGGUACCUAACCAGAAAGCCACGGCUAACUACGUGCCAGCAGCCGCGGUAAUACGUAGGUGGCAAGCGUUGUCCGGAAUUAUUGGGCGUAAAGGGCUCGCAGGCGGUUUCUUAAGUCUGAUGUGAAAGCCCCCGGCUCAACCGGGGAGGGUCAUUGGAAACUGGGAAACUUGAGUGCAGAAGAGGAGAGUGGAAUUCCACGUGUAGCGGUGAAAUGCGUAGAGAUGUGGAGGAACACCAGUGGCGAAGGCGACUCUCUGGUCUGUAACUGACGCUGAGGAGCGAAAGCGUGGGGAGCGAACAGGAUUAGAUACCCUGGUAGUCCACGCCGUAAACGAUGAGUGCUAAGUGUUAGGGGGUUUCCGCCCCUUAGUGCUGCAGCUAACGCAUUAAGCACUCCGCCUGGGGAGUACGGUCGCAAGACUGAAACUCAAAGGAAUUGACGGGGGCCCGCACAAGCGGUGGAGCAUGUGGUUUAAUUCGAAGCAACGCGAAGAACCUUACCAGGUCUUGACAUCCUCUGACAACCCUAGAGAUAGGGCUUUCCCUUCGGGGACAGAG